UACGAAGGGGGGCUAGCGUUGCUCGGACUCACUGGGCGUAAAGCGCACGUAGGCGGCUUUCUAAGUCGGGGGUGAAAUCCUGGAGCUCAACUCCAGAACUGCCUUCGAUACUGGAAAGCUCGAGUCCGGGAGAGGUGAGUGGAACUGCGAGUGUAGAGGUGAAAUUCGUAGAUAUUCGCAAGAACACCAGUGGCGAAGGCGGCUCACUGGCCCGGUACUGACGCUGAGGUGCGAAAGCGUGGGGAGCAAACAGG
RNAcentral lists this ribosomal RNA (254 nucleotides) under uncultured bacterium. Its description in RNAcentral is "partial 16S ribosomal RNA". It matches the Rfam family "Bacterial small subunit ribosomal RNA", at positions 524 to 776 of the family's 1533-position model. The record is from RNAcentral.